GUCGAGCGAACGGACGAGAAGCUUGCUUCUCUGAAUGUUAGCGGCGGACGGGUGAGUAACACGUGGAUAACCUACCUAUAAGACUGGGAUAACUUCGGGAAACCGGAGCUAAUACCGGAUAAUAUUUUGAACCGCAUGGUUCAAAAGUGAAAGACGGUCUUGCUGUCACUUAUAGAUGGAUCCGCGCUGCAUUAGCUAGUUGGUAAGGUAACGGCUUACCAAGGCAACGAUGCAUAGCCGACCUGAGAGGGUGAUCGGCCACACUGGAACUGAGACACGGUCCAGACUCCUACGGGAGGCAGCAGUAGGGAAUCUUCCGCAAUGGGCGAAAGCCUGACGGAGCAACGCCGCGUGAGUGAUGAAGGUCUUCGGAUCGUAAAACUCUGUUAUUAGGGAAGAACAUAUGUGUAAGUAACUGUGCACAUCUUGACGGUACCUAAUCAGAAAGCCACGGCUAACUACGUGCCAGCAGCCGCGGUAAUACGUAGGUGGCAAGCGUUAUCCGGAAUUAUUGGGCGUAAAGCGCGCGUAGGCGGUUUUUUAAGUCUGAUGUGAAAGCCCACGGCUCAACCGUGGAGGGUCAUUGGAAACUGGAAAACUUGAGUGCAGAAGAGGAAAGUGGAAUUCCAUGUGUAGCGGUGAAAUGCGCAGAGAUAUGGAGGAACACCAGUGGCGAAGGCGACUUUCUGGUCUGUAACUGACGCUGAUGUGCGAAAGCGUGGGGAUCAAACAGGA
RNAcentral lists this ribosomal RNA (735 nucleotides) under uncultured Staphylococcus sp. RNAcentral describes it as "bacterial SSU rRNA". It matches the Rfam family "Bacterial small subunit ribosomal RNA", at positions 61 to 777 of the family's 1533-position model. The record is from RNAcentral. Lineage: Bacteria; Bacillati; Bacillota; Bacilli; Caryophanales; Staphylococcaceae.